RNAcentral lists this long non-coding RNA (357 nucleotides) under Cricetulus griseus (Chinese hamster). RNAcentral's name for it is "lncRNA (ENSCGRG00015039030.1)". Lineage: Eukaryota; Metazoa; Chordata; Mammalia; Rodentia; Cricetidae. The record is from RNAcentral.
UCUCUCUUGAUCCCAAAGGACAAAGAGGAAAAGAUAGAACCAGAAAUAAGGCCCAGUCUUGUACAAAUAAGUACCAAAUAAGGGUUUUUGUAAUAGAUGUCCUUUUCAUUUGUCUUACAAGUGGGCAGUGUCUGAGCGGACUGAAGUGUUCCCAGGUGUUGGGCACUUGGGGGUCCAUGAGGACUGCCUGUGCUCUCAUCUGGGCCUUUAGGAACGGAUCCAGCUUUCAAUACAUUGUCGGCUGUUCCUGUGACAGAUCUCAUCUACAAUAGGUGGCUUUGAAAGUUUAAGUCCCUCAUCAGUGAGUAAAGCAUGUGCCAGUAACCCCUGCCCUAUCUCUGCUUCGCCCCCCACCCC